RNAcentral lists this ribosomal RNA (522 nucleotides) under uncultured bacterium. RNAcentral describes it as "bacterial SSU rRNA". It matches the Rfam family "Bacterial small subunit ribosomal RNA", at positions 777 to 1299 of the family's 1533-position model. The record is from RNAcentral.
AAUAGAUACCCAGGUAGUCCACGCCGUAAACGAUGGGCACUAGGUGUGGGGCUCAUUCCACGAGUUCCGUGCCGCAGCAAACGCAUUAAGUGCCCCGCCUGGGGAGUACGGCCGCAAGGCUAAAACUCAAAGGAAUUGACGGGGGCCCGCACAAGCGGCGGAGCAUGCGGAUUAAUUCGAUGCAACGCAAAGAACCUUACCAAGGCUUGACAUGCACGGGAAGCCACCAGAGAUGGUGGUCUCUUUGGACACUCGUGCACAGGUGGUGCAUGGUUGUCGUCAGCUCGUGUCGUGAGAUGUUGGGUUGAGUCCCGCAACGAGCGCAACCCUCGUCCCAUGUUGCCAGCGGGUUAUGCCGGGGACUCAUGGGAGACUGCCGGGGUCAACUCGGAGGAAGUGGGGAUGACGUCAAAUCAUCAUGCCCCUUAUGUCUUGGGCUUCACGCAUGCUACAAUGGCCGGUACAAAGGGCUGCGAUACCGUAAGGUGAGCGAAUCCCAAAAAGCCGGUCUCAGUUCGGAUU